Non-coding RNA from Salmo salar (Atlantic salmon), 54 nucleotides. NCBI's taxonomy places the organism in Eukaryota, Metazoa, Chordata, Actinopteri, Salmoniformes, Salmonidae. The record is from Rfam.
UGCAUUCACUACUGUAAGUUGCUCUGGAUAAGAGUGUCUGCGAAAUGGCUAAAA